RNAcentral lists this ribosomal RNA (497 nucleotides) under uncultured bacterium. RNAcentral's name for it is "bacterial SSU rRNA". It matches the Rfam family "Bacterial small subunit ribosomal RNA", at positions 29 to 509 of the family's 1533-position model. The record is from RNAcentral.
AUGAACGCUGGCGGCGUGCUUAACACAUGCAAGUCGAACGGAGUAUUCCGCCCGAGACCUGAUGUAGCUUGCUAUGGAUGGAAUCAAUUGGAAUACUUAGUGGCGGACGGGUGAGUAACGCGUGAGUAACCUGCCCUUGAGUGGGGAAUAACACCGAGAAAUCGGUGCUAAUACCGCAUAAUGUCAGAGGACCGCAUGAUCUUCUGACCAAAGGAUUUAUUCGCUUAAGGAUGGACUCGCGUCCGAUUAGCUAGUUGGUGAGGUAACGGCCCACCAAGGCAACGAUCGGUAGCCGAACUGAGAGGUUGAUCGGCCACAUUGGGACUGAGACACGGCCCAGACUCCUACGGGAGGCAGCAGUGGGGAAUAUUGGGCAAUGGGCGCAAGCCUGACCCAGCAACGCCGCGUGAAGGAUGAAGGUCUUCGGAUUGUAAACUUCUUUGAUCAGGGACGAAUUUGACGGUACCUGAAGAACAAGUCACGGCUAACUACGUGCC